This 427-nucleotide ribosomal RNA is filed under the name uncultured prokaryote. Its description in RNAcentral is "bacterial SSU rRNA". It matches the Rfam family "Bacterial small subunit ribosomal RNA", at positions 355 to 774 of the family's 1533-position model. The record is from RNAcentral.
UGGGGAAUAUUGGACAAUGGGGGGAACCCUGAUCCAGCCAUGCCGCGUGUGUGAAGAAGGUCUUCGGAUUGUAAAGCACUUUAAGUUGGGAGGAAGGGCAGUUAACUAAUAUUUGACUGUUUUGACGUUACCGACAGAAUAAGCACCGGCUAACUUCGUGCCAGCAGCCGCGGUAAUACGAAGGGUGCAAGCGUUAAUCGGAAUUACUGGGCGUAAAGCGCGCGUAGGUGGUUCGUUAAGUUAGGAGUGAAAGCCCCGGGCUCAACCUGGGAAUUGCUUCUAAAACUGGCGGGCUAGAGUAUGGUAGAGGGUGGUGGAAUUUCCUGUGUAGCGGUGAAAUGCGUAGAUAUAGGAAGGAACAUCAGUGGCGAAGGCGACCACCUGGACUAAUACUGACACUGAGGUGCGAAAGCGUGGGGAGCAAACA